UGAUCUGACGAGAAAGUUUUU
Molecule: non-coding RNA, 21 nt
Filed under: Caenorhabditis elegans
Lineage: Eukaryota; Metazoa; Nematoda; Chromadorea; Rhabditida; Rhabditidae
Source: RNAcentral